AUGAUAAUAUAGGUGAAAUAUUUACUACACAACAAACAUAAGAUAAAAAAAACUAAAGAAUGGCACAAAAGAAACCAAUGGCUGUGCUGUGUAGGCAGUUCAGGAGGAGAGUCAAAGGCUUUUUCUAAAAAUGAUUUUUGAUUAGGCCUAAUCCAAAAAUGCACUCCUGCGUGCAGACUAUCCUAAAGCUUUUGUUCUGUUCAGUUCAGUUUGAGAAGGAGAGCUCAAAGAUGACGAGGACCAGAGGUCAACUUUGAUUGCUUGCUACUACUAUAAUUUAUUUUAUUAAAAACAAUGUUACUUUUCCAUUCUGAAAGCGUAUUGAGUUAUUGGCCUCACAAUCAGCCAGAUUCGAUUGUGGUGACUGAAACUUGAAACAGCAACCGUGGCACAAUCAAUUGGAAAUUGACAGCUAAUGGUGCUGAAAGUAGGCAAAUUUGAGUAGGCAUAAUUAAUUUGACUUUACUAACAACAAGAGGGCUUUGUGUUGGAGCCUAUUUAUUCAUAUUUAAGAAAUAAGUGGUAGGCCUACCUGUUUGGCAGAUUAAAUUAGGCAAUAGGCUGCUAAUAUAGAUAUAUUUGUCAGUCAAUUCCAUGUCAGUGAAGGGGAUAUGAGGGUAUGCCAUAGCCCUACUUUUUAUGAAAGAAAAUGGCAAAAAGCACAAGCUUACCUCUUGUUAGUUUAAUAUUUUAAAACUGAUCUGAUUAUAUAACGUGAUAUAUUAGAGCGCUUUGGUCCUUGAUGCUUUACAAUAUGCAUUGUCUCGUGUCUUUGACAUUCAGAGGCUGAGACACAACCUUCUAUAGCCAAGGACCCAAAAAAUAUACUUUGCUUGGGAAGUAAUUCUAAUUCUCUCUAUCAAUUGAUUAGGCGAUUCACUUUCUGUACAAUAAAUGUUUAAACCCAGACAACUUUUAGGGAAACCGUUGUGACCAUCUCUCGUUGGGUUAAGCCACAGAAAAGGGCUAUUUUUUUCUCAGACCUGCAAAUACGAUGAUAGAUUCAUGCAAUGCUUUUACUAUAAAGGAGAUCUUUCCCCCCCUACUCUCUUCCACGGUGGUCUAUGAACCCACAACCUUCUGGCCAGCAGCUCUUGUGGGCUAUCAAAAUUCCUGCAUUGCCAUGUAAUGCUUACAGGAAGAAGAACACUUUCUAAAACUGUUUCUAGAAGGCUCUGGUCUUUCCAAGAUGUGAGGAUAAAUGGUAUAGACAUGUUCUCCGCUAUCCACUUUGUUUAAAUUAUUAUUAUUAUUUGGGGUAUAAGGGUGAUUCACUUUUUUUCAAGCAUUCAGGGAGGGUUGAAUUGAAAUGUAACUGAUGAACUGUCCAUAUUCAUUUUAGAAAGAUCCCAUUUUCUCAAUGUAACCCUUACUACAAAAUAAUGUUCACCACCUAAACUGGAACAGUUUCAGUAACGGGUGAAAUAAGUUCAACUAAGAUAUUGGGUUAGUAUGUAUGUUAUGUAUCUUUGUGUAGCACAAGAUAAAUUAAUUGAUUAAUUAAAACAAUCAAUGUACAUGCAAAAACACAGAUAUUGAAACAAACUAUUCUAGAAAAUCAAACUGCAAUAUAGCAUGCUGGGAAAUAUGAUAAUGAUGACCAUAGUUUAGCAGACCAGCUUGUCCAGCUAGACCAUGCUGGACCAGCAUACACUCCCAAGAAGAAGAAAAAGGUUAUUUGCCAGGGCUUAGGGUAAUUUUAUUUUUCAUAUUAAGAAUUCCCUAUCCACAGUGUUUUCCUUUUAUGCCAUGAAAUGCUACACUGUUGCAAAGUUCCUUUAAUUGCAUGGUACACUAUAGGCUACUGAUUGCAGUGAAAGGAAGGUAAACAACAAGUUACUGAAUUUCUACAGCUGAAUGAAGGUGUUAAUGCUGUAAAAGGACAGUAUGCUGGCUACCUAAGACUAUACCUCACUUGAGAUUUGAACUCAAACUCUUUGUUGCUAAUGACCUGAACUUCCUGCUACACCACCAGCUCUAUGUGCAUGACAGAGCUUGGCCACAGAUUUAAAUGGCAAGAACACAGUUCUGUACACUGCUAGAAGCUGCCCAGAAUCAAGUCAAUAAUUUCAUAAUUAUCUGACAACACCAAUGUGAAAAUGUCAGUACUCAGGGACACUUAAUGUAAUGUGUCCAUAAAUGCUUUGGGGAUUUGAACUUAGAGGCCUUUAGGUAGAAGUGCAUUAAUGUUUCAGCAGUGCCACCAGGUACAUCUUUGGUACCAAGAUGUACCUUGAUGUACAUUCAGAAAGUAUUCACACCCCUUGACCUUUUCUCCAUUUUGUACAGCCUGCAUUUUAAAUGGAUUACAUUGUGAUUUCUUUUGUGACUGGCCUAACACAAUGCACCAUAAUGUCAAAGUGGAAUUAUGUUUUUACGUUUUUUUACAAAUUCAUUACAAAUUAAAAGCUGAAAUGUUUUAAGUCAAUAAGUAAAUCAACCCCUUUGUUAUGGCAAGCCAAAAUAAGUUUGGGAGUAAAGAUUUGCUUAACAAGUCACAUAAUAAGAUCCAUGGACUCACUCUGUGUGCAUUGUGUUUAACAUGAUUUUUGAAUGACUACCUCAUCUCUGAAACAUACCAGUGGUCUGGGGCGGCAGGUAUCCUAGUGGUUAGAGCAUUGGAUUUGUAACAGAAAGGUUGCAAAUCCCCAAGCUGACAAGGUAAAAAUCUGUCAUUCUUCUCAUGAGCAAGGCAGUUAACCCACUGUUCCUAGGCCGUCAUUGAAAAUUAGAAUUUGUUCUUAACUGACUUGCCAAGUAAAAUAUAUUUGGGGGCAUGGUCUAAUAUGUGUUUUUGUGCCAACCAUCAGUGGAAGUGUUGUACCAGUUUAAGUGGUUGAUGGUUUUAACACUGUCACACCUAGGGCUGUUAUGGUGACCAUAUUACCGCCACACUGUCACUCAUGAGUCAUGACCGGAUUAAAACUCCAUGUCACUGAGUCACGGUAAUCUCUUAUGGUAGUACCCAACUUGCUAAUGACCAUCAGGUCACUAAUGGCCUGUUACUAUUGUCCCGCUAACCAUUCUGACAUCAAUUCAAAUCCAAUCGAAAAUCACAUCAAACACUGAUCAUCAAAACAGUAUCAUGCAUUUAGAACUCACCUCACUGUGAUUAAUCAGUCUGAAGAAAGAAGUUCAACAGGUUUAAACUUAAUGGAAAACAUGGUCAUGGUCACAGCACUUUCUAAAGGUGAUGAUUAAUUCAAAACAUCCAAAUGCAUAUUAGAGUUUAUGCAAAGGCUUGGCCUAAAUAUGAGCUCAAGCCCGAAAAAAAACCCUGAGUUAAAAUAAUGAUUGUGCCAUUAUAGAAUACAUAGCCUACCGCACAUUAAGCAUGGCAGAAAUACAUAAAUAUGUACAUAAUUGGUCUAGCCGAUACCCCAAAAUUAAACAUAUUCUAGUAAUUGCUUUUGGAGUGUGGACUGUAUUAAUAUGCAUACUGGAUGGACUUGUUACCUCAUGCUACGCUCCAAACUUUCUAUACAUGAGUUGGGGAGAGAACAUAGGCGAUACUGUUGUUUUAUUGAUAGUACAGGGUGGCUUACAGAGUUACAGUGUCUUCAGAAAAUAUUCACACCCCUUGAUUUUUUCAAAAAAAAAAAUGUUUGUCUGAAUUUAAAAUAGAGUCAAAUGAGAUUUGUUUUGGUACUGGCCUACAGACAAUACUCCAUACUGUCAAGGUGGAAUUAUGUUUCGACAUUUUUACAAAUUAAUAAAAAAUGUAAAGCUGAAAUGUCUUGAGUCAAUAAGCAUUCAACCCCUUUGUUAUGGCAAUCCUAAAUACGUUCAGGAGUAAAAAUUUGCUUCAGUAACAUAAGUUUCAUGGACUGACUCUGUGUGCAAUACUAGUGUUUAAGAUGGUUUUUGAAUGACUACCUCAUCUCUAUACCCGACACAUACAGAUAAUUGUAAGGUCCCUCAGUCCAGCAGUGAAUUUCAAACAGAUUCAGCCACAAAGACCGAGGUUUUCCUUACCAAGAAGACAGUGAAUAUUUGAGUGGCCGAGUUAGUUUUGACUUAAAUCUGCUUGAAAAUAUAUGGGAAGACCUGAAAAUGGUUGCCUAGCAAUGAUCAACAACCAAUUUGACAUACCUUGAAGAAUUUUGAAAAUAAUAAUUGGCCAAAUGUUGCACAUGAGACAUACCCAGAAAGACUCGAGAUACCGUAUAUAUAUAUAUAUAUAUAUAUAAAUAUAUAUAAAUGUUUAUAUAAAAAAUGUUUUUUUAUAUUUCUAAUGUUGACAGAGUAUUUUGUGAAGAUCGUUGGCAAUUUUUUUUUACAAUUAAGUCCUUCUGAAUCCCACUUUGUAACAAAAUGUGGAGAAAGUCAAGGGGUGUGAAUACUUUCUGCAGGCAUAGUAGCCAAUAAUUUGGGACAUUUUGAAACAAAUUUUCUUCAUGUCAUAAUGUUUCUUCAGAGCUGUCUAAAAUACAAUAGAUUUAUUGUGAUGGUGCAUAUUAAAAUAAUUUAUUAGACUUUAAAUGUAGAUGUUCCAAAGGCGAGCAUCAGCAACUUGUAUGAGUGGAGGCCUGGAGAUGCUAAACAUGUUUGUUACUUAACCGUCAAUUACUGUGAGACUGGCAGUCUUUCGCAUGACAAUAACCGGCUGACAAAAUUUCAUGACCACUACAACCAUAGUCACAUGAACAGAUCCAGUAUUGUAGCAGGAAAUUCAGGUUGCUGGCAACUGAGAGGUUGUGAGUUCAAAUCCCAAGUGAGGUUGACACCAAAGUAAUCAGUAAUUUUACUGGUUGGCAAAACCACGCCCAUCAGUAUCAUAUUUCCCAGCAUUGCAGUUAGAUUUUAAGAAUAGUUGUUUUCAAUAUCUGUGUUGCAUGUACAUUGAUUGGUUAAGGAAUACAUUAAUGAAUGUUUUGCUACACAAAGAUAAAUAACUAAAUUAAUCCAAUCUUUUAGUUGGACUUAUUGCACCCGUGACUGAAAUGGUUGUUCAAGUUUAGUCUAAUUUUGUUUAUCUUUUUGACACUGGCAGUCAUUCUGAAUCCACUCUGGAUGGAUUCCAAUAGGAAUUAAACAUCACUUUGCAAGCCAGCAUAAUGUAACUUCUUGCUGGUCACCAGAGCCUGCAGGUAGGGAGGGGAAGUUCCUCAUUGUUCAGCAGGUGAGCACCAUGGUUUUGUAGUGGAUGUGAGCUUCAACUGGAAGCUAGUGGAGUGUGCGGAGGAGCGGGUGACAUGAGGGAACUUGGGAAGGUUUAAAACCAUGCGGGCUGCAGCAUUCUGAAUAAGUUUAUAGCACAAGUGGGGAGCCCAGCAAACAGCGAGUUGCAGCAGUCCAGACGGGAAAGGACAAGAGCCUGGAUUAGGACCUGCACUGCUUCCUGUGUGAGGUAUGAAUGUUGUAGAGCAUGAACCUGCAGGAGCGGGUCACUGCUUUGAUGUUUGCAGAGAACAACAGGGUUAUGCCAAGGUUCUUUGCACUCUGAGAGGGUUACACUGUGGCGUUGUCAACCGUGAUGGAGAGGUCUUUGAGCAGGCAGGCCUUUUCUGGGAGGAAGAGCAGUUCUGUCUUGACGAGUUAGAGCUUGAGGUGGUGGGCCGACAUCGAAGUUGAGAUGUUUGGUCAUGGAUUUAACAAUGGUGGAAACUCCCUCCAGCUAAUGCCAACACCAAUUUAAUUAUUCGAAAUCUAUGCCUGGGAGAUUGGAAAGGCACACUUCUGGAGAAAGGGGGAGAAUCGGAACAAAUAAGGGAUGAUUUUUGAGGGGAGGCAUAAGCUGAACAGAGAAGUGUGUCCACCUCUUUGCGCACAUGCAUGGCCUAUCAUUUUUUUACCACAAGCUAUACUUAAAGUGUAAAAUAUCAUGGCAUUGCAACCAGGGCCACCAUUUGUCACAUUUUCAUGACAGAAAUAUGUCCCGGGUUCACAUCCCAGGUAAACACAUGUCAUGUAAAAACUAUGCAAGGGAAGUGCUGUUGGUCAUUACGGAGGUCUGGUAAACAAAGAAAAAAUCCAAUGCCUGUAACGGAAAUUCUAAUUUUCUCAACAACGCUUGAACGGGAAAGCGCAGCAAGAAGGCCUUCCUAUAAAUAUUCCAUGGUGUUUCAUUGUCUGAUGAAAAGUGUUUGAACUUUGAACAAUGGAACCUAUGGAGGAGGAAGAAGGCAUAUGUCUUAGAUGAUGAAAUAUAGAAGUAAGAAAUAUUUACACAUUAUAUAAUGAAAUUAUAAGCCUUCUAUCUGUAAUACAGUAUCUAUGGUAUGUGCUCGUCCACAUAUGGAUGGUGUUUCCUCUUAUAGAUAUCACAGUACUGAAAAAAGUGCCAAACUUUAAAUUUAUGUGUACAAUAUGUAGAGAUUACGAUUAAAAUGUGACUGAUUUUGAGGUUUUUCUUGUUUGAAAAAAAAAUACAGAUACAAUUUUAAAAAAUGUCAGCGCUUUUCAAUAAGCUUCAUAGUGCUUUACAUUGCAUGGGAGUAACGCACCCCACCUGCUACCAUUGUGUACAGUAGCACACCAACCUGGAUGAUGCACAGCAUCCAUUUUAUGCCAGAUAAGCUCACCACACAUUGGCUCUCACAGUGAAAGAGGUGAAUGUCACAGGUAUCAAGUCCCCAUACAUGGAGUACUAGUAUUGUUACUGUAACAUUUUGGUUUUAGAUGAUACUUUAUUUAGUCACAUAAUUUCACCCAGUUGUCGUCCCUCAAGCCAAAUAACCUCUUUCUCCAUGGCAGAAAACUCUUAGCAACAUUUACUGUAACGUAUUUUCUUCCUAUAGACACUACUUGUAAUUGAUUUGCUCGAGUUCAGCAUCACAAUACGUAAAUAAAGAUUUGUAACAACUGU
Molecule: long non-coding RNA, 6808 nt
Organism: Oncorhynchus tshawytscha (Chinook salmon)
Lineage: Eukaryota; Metazoa; Chordata; Actinopteri; Salmoniformes; Salmonidae
Source: Ensembl